Molecule: ribosomal RNA, 484 nt
Filed under: uncultured bacterium
Lineage: Bacteria
Description: partial 16S ribosomal RNA
Rfam family: Bacterial small subunit ribosomal RNA
Source: RNAcentral
AUUGAACGCUGGCGGCAUGCCUUACACAUGCAAGUCGAACGGCAGCGCGGGAGCAAUCCUGGCGGCGAGUGGCGAACGGGUGAGUAAUACAUCGGAACGUGCCCAAUCGUGGGGGAUAACGCAGCGAAAGCUGUGCUAAUACCGCAUACGAUCUACGGAUGAAAGCAGGGGAUCGCAAGACCUUGCGCGAAUGGAGCGGCCGAUGGCAGAUUAGGUAGUUGGUGAGGUAAAGGCUCACCAAGCCUUCGAUCUGUAGCUGGUCUGAGAGGACGACCAGCCACACUGGGACUGAGACACGGCCUAGACUCCUACGGGAGGCAGCAGUGGGGAAUUUUGGACAAUGGGCGAAAGCCUGAUCCAGCCAUGCCGCGUGCAGGAUGAAGGCCUUCGGGUUGUAAACUGCUUUUGUACGGAACGAAACGGUCUUUUCUAAUAAAGAAGGCUAAUGACGGUACCGUAAGAAUAAGCACCGGCUAACUACGUG